Molecule: unclassified non-coding RNA, 194 nt
Filed under: plant metagenome
Description: partial contains small subunit ribosomal RNA and internal transcribed spacer 1
Rfam family: Eukaryotic small subunit ribosomal RNA (bases 1-46)
Source: RNAcentral
AAGUCGUAACAAGGUCUCCGUAGGUGAACCUGCGGAGGGAUCAUUACUGAGUGAGGGCCCUCGGGCUCGACCUCCCACCCUUUGUGAACACAACUUGUUGCUUCGGGGGCGACCCUGCCGUUCGCGCGGCAAGCGCCCCCGGAGGCCUUCAAACACUGCAUCAUUGCGUCGGAGUUUAAGCAAAUUAAACAAAA